UACGGAGGGUGCAAACGUUGCUCGGAAUCAUUGGGCGUAAAGCGCACGUAGGCGCCCUGACAAGUCGGGUGUGAAAUCCCUCGGCUUAACCGAUGAAGUGCAUUCGAAACUAUCAGGCUUGAAUACUGAAGAGGGUCUCGGAAUUCCCGGUGUAGAGGUGAAAUUCGUAGAUAUCGGGAGGAACACCGGUGGCGAAGGCGGCAUCCUGGACCGGCAUUGACGCUGAGGCGCGAAAGCCAGGGGAGCAAACGGG
RNAcentral lists this ribosomal RNA (253 nucleotides) under uncultured bacterium. Its description in RNAcentral is "partial 16S ribosomal RNA". It matches the Rfam family "Bacterial small subunit ribosomal RNA", at positions 524 to 776 of the family's 1533-position model. The record is from RNAcentral.